CAUCCGGGUAAGUCUUGCACGACCAGCUCCCUCUGAACUCCCCCAGGGCCGGAAGGCAGCAAGGGUAGGAGGUCGUAGCGGUGCGAUGC
RNAcentral lists this signal recognition particle RNA (89 nucleotides) under bovine gut metagenome. RNAcentral describes it as "Bacteroidales small SRP". It matches the Rfam family "Bacteroidales small SRP", at positions 4 to 90 of the family's 107-position model. From Rfam's summary of the family: The non-coding component of the signal recognition particle in Bacteroides The record is from RNAcentral.